GCGGAGGAAAAGAAACCAACAGGGAUUGCCUUAGUAACGGCGAGUGAAGCGGCAACAGCUCAAAUUUGAAAUCUGGUCCCCUUUGGGGGCCCGAGUUGUAAUUUGAAGAGGAUGCUUUUGGCGAGGCGCCGUCCGAGUUCCCUGGAACGGGACGCCGCAGAGGGUGAGAGCCCCGUACGGUCGGACGCCGAGCCUCUGUAAAGCUCCUUCGACGAGUCGAGUAGUUUGGGAAUGCUGCUCAAAAUGGGAGGUAAACCCCUUCUAAAGCUAAAUACUGGCCAGAGACCGAUAGCGCACAAGUAGAGUGAUCGAAAGAUGAAAAGCACUUUGAAAAGAGAGUUAAAAAGCACGUGAAAUUGUUAAAAGGGAAGCGCUUGCGACCAGACUUGCGCCCGUCGGAUCAACCGUCGCUUGCGGCGGCGCACUCCGGCGGGCUCAGGCCAGCAUCAGUUCGUCCGGGGGGAGAAAGGCGGCGGGAAUGUGGCUCUUCGGAGUGUUAUAGCCCGCCGUGUAAUACCCUCGGGUGGACUGAGGACCGCGCGUAUGCAAGGAUGCUGGCG
This 560-nucleotide ribosomal RNA is filed under the name Scopulariopsis brevicaulis (arsenic fungus). RNAcentral's name for it is "eukaryotic LSU rRNA". It matches the Rfam family "Eukaryotic large subunit ribosomal RNA", at positions 50 to 631 of the family's 3401-position model. Lineage: Eukaryota; Fungi; Ascomycota; Sordariomycetes; Microascales; Microascaceae. The record is from RNAcentral.